CCUUUCCAGCCGUCACCCCUUAUGCCCCCAUUGGCCACCCUUGUUCCUCCGACCAGCAAGCCGUCGUUGUGCUGUUGAGCCCACUGUCGUCGCUAACCGCCACCUCCUUCUUCACUUCCGGCGUCGCACCACCACGGUUGGGACUGGUGACCACCGAAACCACCUUCACGAAGUUGUUGCGGCGGUUCUGACGCCAACACCAGCCGCUACCGUCCCUUCACAACUUCUUCUUCUUCUUUUUAUGCUUCCCUCUAUCCAACGCCUUUGUGACGCCAUGGUGAACCCGGCGACAAGAGUGAAAAACCGAGACAGCGGUUGUUUUUGCUGCCCUAGAUCGCUGCUAUCGCCGCCAUUAUGUUGUUUCCGCAACUGUCGCCGCUCACCACCGCUGUAAGGAUGGGUGCGUGUGAGUUUCAGUCGUGUGUCGUCGGCAUGGGGGUGCUUUUGGUUUGCUGAUCUCGAUUUGAAUGCUUGAUGGACAGGAGGACCUGAAGACAAACCACCAUGGCCGUCGGCCAUGGUGGCUGCCGCUGCUAACAAGCUGUUACCGUUUUUGCCAUCCCAAGUCUGCUGUUGUCGCUGCCAUGAGUGUGUGAUCGGGUGUAUGGUCAUUUUCUGUUGGCUGGAGUUGCCAAGAAACCACCAUGGCCGCUAGCCAUGGUGGCUGCCGCCGUUCGCUGCCGCCAACCACCAUUAGGUUGUUGGAUACAUGUGUUGUAUUAGUGUGUGUGUGUGUAUGUGUGUGUGAUUAUUUGGGGUUUUAGCAUUGUAAAAUGUAACCGGAAAGAAAAAUAAUGAAAAGAAAUUGAAAACCACCACCUUAGGGUGGUAGCUGCCGCCUCCUGCUGCCACCGGCCACCGUGUCGGGUGGCGGUGUGUUUUGCCUCGUUGUGAUCGAUUCGUUUGGGGUGCUUGAAACCCUAGUGGGCCUUGUAAGCCCUAAUGGGCCCAAUGAAGCUUAAUGGACCCUAAUUGACCCAAAUAAAAAUCUAAUGGGCUUAAUGAUAUUUUAGUGGGCUUAAUAGGCCCAAUAAAGCCCUAAUUGACCUAAAAGCCCAAUAAAUUGAUAAAUGGGCUAAUAUUUGGAUUGGAAACCCUAAUUAGGGUUUGGAAACCCCUAAUGCCAAUAAAACCCUAAUUUGGGGAACUAACCGGGACAUGCGGGAAUUAUUUAAUAACUUGAGAUAUUAAAUAAUAAUCAUUGGCAAAGAUUAAUCUAAGUGAUAUUGGACUUAAUGGAUUAAGUCCUUAAUGGGUUAAGUAGGAAACUUAACCCUAACCAUCAUUUUAUGUGAAACUCUAAUUUCACUUGGGUUUAUUGUUGGGCCUCUCUUUUGGGUCUUGAUGAUUGGGUUAUUAAUGGGUCAUCCAAAGUCAAUCAAUUGGACUAGAAUAAUUUAAUGGGCAUAAGGUAAGCCCCAUGCAAGGGGUUUGGGCCCAAUUUGGAAAAUUGGGCCAUAGAUGAGCCAUAGUUUGGGCAUUAAUGAUUAUAUGAUAUUGGGCCAUUAGAAUGUCAAAUGUUGGACUGGAAUAAAUGGUUGGGCCUUAGAGUGAGACCAUGUAAAGGUUUGGGCCCAAUUUGGAAAAUUGGGCCAUAUGUUGGGCUUUGAGCUAUAGUUGGACUUUUGGGUCUUUGGAUUGGGCCUCAGGCUUGAAUCAAGCCAAGUUAGGGGUAGAGUAGCCUUUUACCCCCAAGCAUGGACUCAUGGUUAUGUAGUGGAACCCAAUUAUUAAUUGGGUGUUAUUUUGGUGUUGACAGUUCGGGAAUCUGUCAUCCAGCAGUGGGGUUGAGUCUGCGGGACUUCAGCAGUGUGGGAUUGUGUACGGGACUUUAGCCGUGUGAGGUAUUCGUUUUCAAAGGAAAGGAACCGGCUUGAUCGCAGCGCAUCACACUAUGUUUUCCGCACAUGAGAUCAUUGGGAUGACACUCUGAUAUUAUUCUAUGAUAAUAUGUUUUGAUUACUGAUACUUUGGUUUGACACGAGAUAUUAUUAUGAAUGUUUUUAUACAGAUGGUUUUAUGUAAUAACUUAUUUAAAAAUGAAAUUUUUGGCCUUGAAUUUUGGGAUGUUACACAAGUACAGUGGCUCUACAUAUGGUCUAAUAGGUGUGAUAUUUAAAUAUGCUAAAGUGGCAACUGAAUGUAUGCAACCAUACCCAUUAAGUUGUCAUAGCCUGCAACUGCAUUUUUUUUUAACAUGAACAAUAUAUGCCUCGUCCAUAUUCCUUGCUUCAAACUUCAUACCCCCACAAGAUACGACCUGAUAAUGCCUACAUAGUUGAAAAACCAAAGUAUUAAGAGAUGUUUAUAACAUUUAAUUUUUUACCAACUUUUAUAUAACUAAAAAAAAACUUUUUAUAUAAUUUAAUUUAUAACAUUUAAAUUUCCACAAACUUUUUCCAGCAACUUGUAUACAUUUAGAUUUCCACCAACAUUUUCCAUGAACUUUUAUACAUUUAAAUUUCCAUAACUUUUUCCACCAACUUUUAUAUAUUUAAAUUUCCAGCAAAUUUCAUUAAAUUUUUCACCCACUUUCGUCCAUAUCAACCACUAUAUAUAAGAACACAUUCUCAACAUUUUAAUACACACAAACUAUUAUUCAUUUUUCUCAUAAAUUGUGUCUUUCCUAUAAAAAACAAUGUCGUGUUCGUCUUCAUCGUCUUCAUCAGACGAUGUUUUCGACAACUUAGUACAGUCGAUCUUCUCCAUACGUAAUAGGCUAGAACAAAAUUUUAACAACUAUGAAUCCAACAAUGCGCAACAUAGACAAAGAAGAUAUAUCCAAAGACAACGUGAAGUAGCCCACCAACAUCUCUUGCAUGAUUAUUUUGACGAGCAUGCACUCUUUCACAGAUAUUAUUUCCGCUGAUGGUUCUGGAUGCAUAAAGAUUUAUUUAUGUGUAUUGUCGAAGGUGAGAGUUGAGUAUAUGAGGCAAUGCCCGGACACAAGAGGUACAUUAGGCUUUGAUCCAAUUCAAAAAUAUAUUGAUGUAUUUCGUAUGUUAACAUAUGCCACUCCCCUAAUGCAAUGCAUGAUUAUUUUGACGGGCAUGCACUCUUUCACGGAUAUUAUUUCCGUUGAUGGUUCCGGAUGCAUAAAGAUUUAUUUAUGCGUAUUGUCGAAGGUGAGAGUUGAGUAUAUGAGGCAAUGCCCGGACACAAGAGGUACAUUAGGCUUUGAUCCAAUUCAAAAAUAUACUGAUGUAUUUCGUAUGUUAACAUAUGUCACUCCCCUAAUGCACUAGACGAGAGUUUUAGGAUAUCUG
Non-coding RNA from Lactuca sativa (garden lettuce), 3266 nucleotides. NCBI's taxonomy places the organism in Eukaryota, Viridiplantae, Streptophyta, Magnoliopsida, Asterales, Asteraceae. The record is from RefSeq and is a predicted model, not a curated record.